CAAUAGCGUAUAUUAAAGUUGUUGCAGUUAAAAAGCUCGUAGUUGGAUUUCUGUUUUGGAUGUCCGGUCCGCUCCCUCUGGGAGUGCGUACUUAUGGAUGUUCGAGGCAUUUUUUGUGAGGUCGCUUUUCUGCCAUUAAGUUGGUGGUUUUGCGGGCUUGCAUCGUUUACUGUGAAAAAAUUAGAGUGUUUAAAGCAGGCGUUUGCUCAUUUGAAUACAUUAGCAUGGAAUAAUAAGAUACGGCCUUGGUGGUCUAUUUUGUUGGUUUGCACACCUGGGUAAUGAUUAAUAGGGACAGUUGGGGGUAUUCAUAUUUCAGCGUCAGAGGUGAAAUUCUUGGAUCGCUGAAAGAUGAGCUUAGGCGAAAGCAUUUACCAAGGAUGUUUUCAUUAA
RNAcentral lists this ribosomal RNA (393 nucleotides) under uncultured eukaryote. RNAcentral's name for it is "partial 18S ribosomal RNA". It matches the Rfam family "Eukaryotic small subunit ribosomal RNA", at positions 592 to 976 of the family's 1831-position model. The record is from RNAcentral.